Molecule: ribosomal RNA, 493 nt
Filed under: uncultured microorganism
Description: bacterial SSU rRNA
Rfam family: Bacterial small subunit ribosomal RNA
Source: RNAcentral
GAGUUUGAUCCUGGCUCAGAACGAACGCUGGCGGCGUGGAUAAGACAUGCAAGUCGAACGGGAGAAUUGCUAGCUUGCUAAUAAUUCUCUAGUGGCGCACGGGUGAGUAACACGUGAGUAACCUGCCCCCGAGAGCGGGAUAGCCCUGGGAAACUGGGAUUAAUACCGCAUAGUAUCGAAAGAUUAAAGCAGCAAUGCGCUUGGGGAUGGGCUCGCGGCCUAUUAGUUAGUUGGUGAGGUAACGGCUCACCAAGGCGAUGACGGGUAGCCGGUCUGAGAGGAUGUCCGGCCACACUGGAACUGAGACACGGUCCAGACACCUACGGGUGGCAGCAGUCGAGAAUCAUUCACAAUGGGGGAAACCCUGAUGGUGCGACGCCGCGUGGGGAAUGAAGGUCUUCGGAUUGUAAACCCUGUCAUGUGGGAGCAAAUUAAAAAGAUAGUACCACAAGAGGAAGAGACGGCUAAACUCUGUGCCGGCAGCAGCCGCCGU